Mytilus californianus (California mussel) is the source of this 698-nucleotide long non-coding RNA. RefSeq lists it as uncharacterized. The record is from RefSeq and is a predicted model, not a curated record. NCBI's taxonomy places the organism in Eukaryota, Metazoa, Mollusca, Bivalvia, Mytilida, Mytilidae. The transcript is spliced from 3 exons.
UUUUGUUCGUUUUACGUAAUGUGACGCUGAAAAAUAUAAAUGUAUCAUUAUUGAAUAUUUUUCCUGUAGACAUUGUUUGAAAUGAUGUAUCAGUUUAUGUUCUCUUCAAUAAUUUGGAUAACGAUUUUACACAAAGCAAUCGGUACAGAAUGUGUGAAGUGUGCAGAAUGUAGUAUACCACCACAAAUCCAAUUUUAUCUACCAGAUUAUGAGAAAAAGUGUAUCAACUCAGAGUGUAACAACGCAACGUCGGCAACAAAUGCAACAAAUGUAAUGUUUGGUCCAUGUCCAAACGAUCCAACUGACCAUCGAAUAAACAGAUGUGGCACUCUCCGUGGAAGUGUUAAACUUUCCGUGUUAUCUUUCGGAGGUCAUGUAGACACAGUGACGUUUUAUUUAAGAGAUUGUUUUGCGGUGAAGAAAAACACAAAGUCUGGAUGUUACACAGAUCGGAAUAUGUUAAAUGACCAGAAAGCUGUCAUUGAAAAGAAAUUUGCAUAUGAUCUUAAAAGACGUAAAACACAAGUUGGAGAUAUACAAAAUGGACAGUUCUGUAUCAAUCACAGUGGUACCAAUAAGUCUUGCACAUUAAUGUAUUCAUCAUUAUUGUUUCUAAUCAUCUUAAUGCUGGCACUACUUAUUACAUAAACAAUCUAUAUACUAAAUUUUACAUAUGAAGCUUAGGAGUAAUAAAAAUA